Molecule: long non-coding RNA, 5420 nt
Filed under: Lactuca sativa (garden lettuce)
Lineage: Eukaryota; Viridiplantae; Streptophyta; Magnoliopsida; Asterales; Asteraceae
Description: long non-coding RNA (LSAT_LNC006082)
Rfam family: Small nucleolar RNA snoR136 (bases 635-774)
Source: RNAcentral
CUCUAUAUAACAACUCGUUUCCUCUUUCCCAGACUCAGCUUUCAAUUAGGGUUUACGUUUUAUCAAACAUCUGAUUAUUUCUCCGCCGUUGGAGUCUACAAGGUAAUCGUCUUCGUAUUCUUUUUAGAUUAAACUUUAUCAAAUAUGUUUCAUAGCCCUAUCUCUCCUUCUCAAUGCGAAUGAAAUGCAUCUAUUUCCAAUUUUUAUGUUUUCCUGCGAAUUUACUAAGGCUUCGCUAAUCUGGUCGGCAUGAAUUUUAUUAGUUUCUGUCUGACUCGUUCCCUUGAAGCAAAAUUAAGCGUGCUGUUUUUAGAUUUUUAUAAUCUUCAAUCGAUUUUCAUUGGAGAACACUUAAGCAGCUACAUAUGUUCAUUAAGUUAAACAAAUGAAGCAUUCAAAAUCAAUCAUUAGUAACCACUUACGAUACUUUUCGGGAUUUUCUUUUUUAUUGUAAUUUGGGGAAAAUGUGACUGUGAUGAGCCAAUACAGACCUGUAAUGACUUGCGAAAAUGAUCGCAACUUAUGAACAUCUAAGGGACUGAGUCUCGAUUCCCUCAUUUUAUUUAUGACUUCAAUUUUGGAAUUUAUUUAAGUUCUAAAUUUUUGAAAAUUCUAAUUUUCAAUAUGUAUGUUCGUGGCUUUAUAUACUGUGAAUGAGGAUUUGCUACAAUUUAGUAUUGGCAAAUUUUAAUGGAGUGAAGCCUAGAAAAAAUGUUCCCCUCGCUAUCCGGUGCAACCAUCAAUGUAGCAUUUGGACGUUGGGAAACAACAUUUGAAAUUCAUGUUUAUUGAUACAUAUAAUUUUUAGAAUACGUUGAUAUACUUAACGACACUGAUCAUAUCUCAAGUUACAAUACACGAGUUUUCCCAAUGCGUUUUUACUCAGUAGUUGUCUACAUAUGAAUCUGUCGAAUCCAAUCAUGUAUUUGUUAAGUGCAUGCAUUUUAAGUAAUCGUUGAAGAUUAAGAGAGAAGUGAAAGGAUGUGUUAUUUACAAACCUCAAGGUAUUUCAAAAUUGAUAUCUAAAAAUAUCCGAAUGCUAGACCCUGAGUUGCUCACUAAUUUAAUACUUGAAUCUUGAAGCUAUAAACGCUUUAAAUACAUGAAGGAAAUACCAAAAUGGCUAUAAGAACGAAACUAAAAGAUUGAAACAGAAGAUCUAAAGACUAGACUGAAACAGAAAAUCUUUGAGCUGCUAGAGCAAUUGUCCAUCCUUGCCACUCUGUAUAAGUCAACUCCAAAUUCUUGACCAUAUCCCCUCGCAACCAAUCUUGCCUUAUGCUUUUUAACUUACCUGUUUUCGUUCAACUUUGGUUUGUCAACCCUCUUCACACCGACUAAGGACCAUGUUUGGACCUUUUCAAUGAUAUCGAUCUCACGGUCCAUUGCCAUUCUCCACUUCAUCUCUUUAGCUGCAUCUUCAUAGCGUAUCAGAUCCUGAUUGAUUGUUUCCACAACAUGCAACUCAUCUUCGUCUGAGGUUAAAAAAAUCUCUUGUGGCAUAAUCUUACAAGUACACAUGUCGUUUUUGUUGUCUUCCCUCUGUGGCUUAGUUAUUGUUAGGACCAGAGGCGAAAUCAAGGGUAGUGCCUUGGUGCUUUGAUUAAUCAAUUUGUUUACUAUCUUCAUCAUUGAAGAUGUAGUGUUUCAUCAGUUUAGUUAUAGUUUCCCCAUUUGAGUUCUUCUUCACCUUCAACUUAUUUUUCUUCAAUUUUACUUUAGUCCCAACCUUUGUUCUCUUCAAAGAUCACAUCAUAAGCAACCCCAAACACGAAAAUGAUCAACUGUUGGCUUCACCUUGCUCCAAGCUUUCUUGUGGGGUCAUAUCAAGAAGGGCCUUAGUUGUACUUUUAUUUAGCACAUAGAAACUCCACCGUGUGGCUUUAACCCAAAACAUCUUGGGCUUGUUUUUUGCAGCUAGCAAAGUCACCACCAUAUUUAUCACUGUUCUUUUCUUGUGUCUUGCAACCCUAUUCUAUUGUGGGGUAAAGCUUGUGGUCAAUUGUCGUUUGAUCCCAUGUUUCUUGCAAAAAUUUCUGAAGUCAUUAGAUAGGUACUCUCCUCCCCUGUCUGUUCGGAUAGCUUUAACCACCUUUCCAGUUUUAGUCUCCAUGUUUCUCUUGAAUUCAUUGAAGCUUUCAAGGGUCUGUGACUUUUUUUACAACAAAUAAACCCAACCCUUGCGACUGUAGUCAUUAAUAAAGCUAAAAAAUUAUCUCUUUCCUGAUUGAGAUGCUGGUGUAAUUGGCCCAUAUAUGUGAGAGUGCACCAACUCCAACAUUUCUUCAGCACAUCGUGUACUUGAUUUCGGAAUGGCUUCUUUAGUUUGCUUUCCCUUUAUAUAAUCCCUACAGUUGUGUCCAAAACAAAGUAUCGUCAUUCAUGUACAGACAUUCAUUCGUCUUUUGAUCUGCAACUUCAUUGGCAUUUUCACUUGGUGCAAACAUCCUGUUUGUGCUCAUAUAACAUUAUUGCCAUUCUCCACUUCAUAUCUUUAGUUGCAUCUUCAUAGUGUGUCGGAUCAUGAUUGAUUGUUUCAACAACAUACAACUCAUUUUCAUCUGAGGUUAACACUUCUCUUGUGACGUAAUCUCGCAAGUAUACAGACCGUAUUUGUUGUUUUCCAUCCUUGGCCUGGUUAUUGUUGGGACCAGAGUCGGAAUCAAGAGUAGCGCCUUGGUGAUAUGAUCUUCAAUUUCUUCAUUAUCAUAUGUUCAUCAAUGUAGUCAUAAUAUUCCCAUGUGAGUUCUUCACAUGCAUCCUUUUUUUUCCUUCAAUUUUACUACACUCCCAACCUUUGUUCUCUUCAAAGAUCACAUCUUUACUUGUUACUACUUUCAUUGUUUCAGGGUUUAUGAGCCGAUAUCUCUUUGACUCUUCACUUACACCUUAACACACAAACAAAACUAUUGUUAUCUAGUAUUGCUAACUAAUUCAAUACUUUAUUCAUGAGGUCAAAAAGGCUUUAAAUACAAGAAGGAAAAUAAUAAAAUGACUAUAAAAAUGGAACUGAAAGAGUGAAACAGAAAAGCUAAAGACUAGGUAGACUAAAUAAACACAUGUGCAACUCUUGGUUGACUAGUCAAUCUUAUUUGAUUUCCUUUAUUGCAAUCCUAAAUACUCCAACAAACUGUAAGUACACUUUCAACAAAAUUUAUCCUAUUAUAGCUGCAAGAUUUUGAAAGCCAAGUUGUUGACUUAAACAUAGCUUUGAAGUUCACAGAAGCAAAACUUAAAGCAUCAUCAACCUUCUUUUGAGCAUCCGAAGAAUCCCUAACAAAAUGGACAGAAACUUGACAAAUGAUAUAAAUGCAUGUGUUACUCUUUGAUGAUAAGAUUCCACAAAUUUUAAGGUUUAUGGUUCCUUUACACUCUUUGAGGCCACUUAAAAUAUUCACAUCAUAAAUGUAAGGGUCUCAUGAAUAUUAAACAAGUUAUUGGUCAAAACUGGUAUCUCUUAGGAAGAGGUUUGAUACACUCGACGACUUACUCAACCUGUAAGAUAUUUGACAUUAACGAACAAUUUAUUAUACCGAUCUUCAAGCUUAUAGAAAGAACACUUAAUUGUGUAGUAAGGGUGAACAUUCCGAUGGAAUAAGAUCUGAUUGGUUCUUGGAUUUGACUUUGUUGAGAUAUGUUGACCUUGGAUUGAAUUUGUUGAGGCUUAUCGGGUAUAUAUUUGGAUUUUCACGUUCUUUUACCUUACGUAUCGGUACAUAAGGUGCAACUUGUUGAAAGUUAGUUUGUUUGUUAUGAGCAUAAAUAUAGUACAAAACUAAAAAAGACAAAAUCAUAGUAUAAAAAAAUUGCUGAAAAGUUUGAAAAAUUCUAGCUUUAAAAUCCAAACUCAACGGGCCUAAAAUGUAAAACGUAUGACAAUUCCUAUGUGUUGAUGCAGGAUUUAAAACUCUACAAACCCUAGAAGGGUUAGAUUUUCGUUCAAGGAGGGUGUAAAAAGGGGUUGCAUUUUGAAGGAAAGAGUUAGCAUCUAGUGUUUGAUCCAUGGUUGUUAGAAAUAUCAUCCAUAAUUAAUGACUUUAGAUGCUAUUGCAAUCGGUCUUUCAUUUGGAUAAAUCAACAACUGUUUUAAUGUCUUUAGAUAUUAUUUCAAUCAGUCUCUUAUUUAUUUGGAUAAAUCAAUAACUAUAUGAAAUCUAAUAUUUUUAAAUAAUCAAAAGAGAGUAGGUUCUAAACAUGCAAAAUGAACACAAUAAUAAUGAAUUAACAGAAAUGGUAGCAAAACCAGCUUAAAUUAACACAAAUGGUAGCCAAACCAACUUAUUAUUAACUCACCACAAAAUAAUCAUCAAAUUAGUUAUACUUUUAUUUUUUAUAAGUUUCAAAGUAUAUGAUAUAUGCAUAUCUAUAUACAUAUUUUACAUAAUAUCUUAAUAUUUCUAGUCAUUUUUAUGCCCUUUAUAUAACAAAAAGGUACAUAAUCUAUUGUAUGAUGUGUUGUAGUGGUAAAAUAGAUGCUCGGAGCAAAAAAGAAGUUGAAAGUUGGAAGCUAGGAAUUUGGAUGACGAUAAAAAAAUGAAGAAAAAUACACUCUCCACGUUGUGGCAACAUUCCCACGACGUGGCUUUUUGGAUUUUCCCGAUGAAUCUAGAAGACUUGUUGAAUACAAGAUAAACACGAAGGCCACGACUUCGUGGUGAUAUGUUUUCGGGAAAACUAUACAUUGAAGCCAUUAUCCUCCGAAAAUAGAACUUUGGCCAGAAGCUAUUGUCGUCUUUUGAAGGCCGAGUACCCACUUUGAAGUUUGGAGUUGCGAAAGUCGAUCAUAGCUUGGAAUCGAGAUAAUUGAGGCAAUACAACAUUCUAUUACGAUUUUCUACUUAAGUUUAAUCUUGUCUAUUAUGAUGAAUUUUGUUUUGCUGUUUUUACUUGCUGAAAUCAUGGGCUAAAACCCUAUGACUUUCGUUAAGUUUAGAUUGACUUUUUAUGUCUUGAUUUAUGGUUUAAGUUAUGUUUUGUUGGUUAUUUGUUACUUUACCUUAUUAAAGAACCUUCUAUGCUUAUGAGAACUACUUUUAUGUUUAUUGCCAAGUUUAAUUUAGAUUGCAUGCUCAUCUUUCUUUUAUUGAACUUGAAUCUUAUGAUCUUUGUGAACAGCAAAAUUAUAGGACUAAUGUUUUGACCAAAACCUAGUGUUAAAUAGAAAAAGCGGGUAAGUAAUUGUAGGAUCUAAUAUAUGACGACCGAUCAUAUAUCGUAUUGAUUCAAUAAACCAAUUUGAUCAAUCUAUUAUAAGUCUAAUUUAACUCGAACCAGACACUAGUAGACUUGUUAGUUUAUCCGCCUGAUCACCGUAUGAAUGAAAUUGUUUACUAAAGAAUUAAGUUAGUGAACAUUAACUUAGUCAUAUUAUAAAUUGGUAACCAACAAAACUAUAAUUCAUUGCACUUUCAUAAAUCAAC